This 334-nucleotide long non-coding RNA is filed under the name Oryzias javanicus (javanese ricefish). RNAcentral's name for it is "lncRNA (ENSOJAG00000021946.1)". The record is from RNAcentral. Lineage: Eukaryota; Metazoa; Chordata; Actinopteri; Beloniformes; Adrianichthyidae.
GCCCAACCCCCAAACAGGAAGGCUGCCAUUUUGUCAUCUGGGCACCAGGAAGAAGAGGGUUUUCCUUGGUGGCAGUGAACAAAGUGUUCUACUGUGGAGCCGUUUUCGCAGUCGCAGACACUGUGUCUGUACAGGGAGUUCCUGUCCCUGGCCCAAACCCGCAGACCAACAGCAAAGAAGGACAAGGUCAACCGUUGCCUCGGCUUUCUUUUGGCAUUAUUGCAGAGGAGCUUCACCUCACACUCGUGGAGUAUUCCUCCAGGCCUGAUGUCAGUAGAUUUAAUCUGCUCUAUAGGUUUCACUUCUGACAGUAACUGCUAUUGUAAGUUAAAAC